UCCACAUGUAGCCGGUGCGCCUAUAAAUGUUAGGGUUGAAUGAAUGAUUGAAGAUUCCUGGGUGAAUGGUCCACUAGGCUAUAGCUGGGAUUCCUCCCACAAAGGGAGACACCUGAGAAGUUGUAAGUCCUCCUGUUAAAAGGAAAGCUUUGUUAGUAUAACCUCUCUUGUCCACCCCACCUCAGUUUGGUGAGGAGAAAGCUCAGAGCUUUCCCCAGUGCUUCCAUGAACUUUGGCCAGUAAAGACUUAAAAUAUCAUAUCAUAAGAUGAGAGAAACCAGUUGGAACUUAAUUUCUAUCCCGAAUCCUUCGAUUAUUCAAAGAAAAACAAAACACGGUCAACAGGCAGUGGAACUCCUCACUCCAAUGUGAUAUUCCUGAGAGAAUAUUGACUUAUUGCACUUCGUCUCUGGGACAAGUAUUGAACAUAGGGGAAGCCUUAUAUAAAAUUGUUCAAUAAACAAAAGAUGUCUUUAACAUGUGUUUGAGAUCUUUCUUCUCAUGAUUCCAUGUUAGGUACAACAACUAUGACCGGGCUGUCAUCAAUACCGUUCCUUAUGAUGUCGUCCAUCGCUGGUAUACAGCACACCGGACUCUAACGAUAGAGUUGAGGAGACCUGAGAAUGAGUUUUGGGUCAAACUAAAGCCUGGCAGGGUCCUAUUUAUAGACAACUGGCGUGUCCUACAUGGCAGGGAAUGCUUCACUGGCUACCGCCAACUCUGUGGCUGCUAUUUAACAAGGGAUGAUGUAUUAAACACUGCUCGCCUCUUGGGGCUUCAGGCUUAAAAUUGACAGCAUCGGGAUUAUGAAUACACCUGGCACCGCGGCUACCAGAAUUUCAUAUGGGCAGAAUAAUAUUGUGUCAAACUCUACUUCAGAUUGUCUCCUUAUCUCGUCCCACAAAACAGAAGCUGUCCCUUUCUCUAGUAGGGGAGACUUGUUAGAGAGGGGGGACUCUGAGCUAUCUAAUGUCAGACUUCUAGUGGGACAGCUCUCUUCCUCAUGUUAUAACAUGGAUCCACUUGUUUUAUUUAAACCUUUUAAUAUAAUUUUGGUCAAUCUCCUUCAGAAAUAUAAUCUCCAUAUUGAUAGGAAAGCAAUAAUUGCCAUGAGGUAGUGAUUUUUUUUCCCAAGUAGAUCAGUUAGAAAGAAAUGCAUUCUAGAAAUAACAAAAAUCCUGAUAAAGCAACAAUUUGCAAAAUUUUUGGUCUUAGGACACCUUAACACUCUUAAAAGUUAUUGAAGGCCCCAAGGAGUUCUUGGGUGUGGGUUCUAUCUAUUGAUACUAAUUGUUUUAGGUAUUAAGACUGGGAAAUAUUUAAAACCCAAGAACACAGAAGCACACAUCCCUCAGCUGUCAGAGAGAUGACAUAACCAUAUGUCAUGUAGCCUCUGGAAAAGUCCUCUGUCUCCUCACGAGAUAAUGAGAGGGGGAAAAAAAGCUACUAUUGCCUUUGUAACUUCCACUUAGCCUACUACAGGGCUAUGCACAUGCACAUCUGGGUUUCCAAAAGUCUGCUUAAUUUCAAAAGAAAAAUGUUUAAUUGAAUGUAACUCAUCUUGGUGUUAUUAUACAAAAUAAUUUUUAAUCUGCAGACCCACUAAAAGGGCCUCAGGGACUCCUCCAGGGGUCUUCAGACCAUACUUUGAGAACCCAUGGGCUAGCGACUACCUUGAGACAGUCCUUUACAUAGGCCUGGGGAUUAAAGGGUUUAGCUGAAACCCUAGAUUUUUCUCUAUAGCCUAAUAGAACUCCAAACAUUAUAAGAAUUGCUUGGUAGCAUAAGCUCAGGGAUAAGGUGGGAAUUGAGUUCAAAUAUAGUGUUUUAUCUUCGAUACAAAUCAUCUCUAUAGGAGUUAAAUUAGGAAGUCACAACAGCUCCUGUUGAACAAACUCAUCAGUGUGGUAGUCCUAUGAGGGAUAAUUGCAGAAAGGUUUUAGAGACUUGUGAGGUUCCAUAUGAUAAUUCUUUACACACACACACACACACACCACCACCACCACCACCACCACCACCAAGAGAAGAACACAGGUCUAUCCUGUAAUAUUAUUCAGGGAAAUCAGCAUGAUAGAUGCUGUGCCUCCGGAGAGUUCUCUGGAGAUUACUACCCAAAUGUGUAUUUUGGCAAUUUGGUGGUAUUUAGGAUGUAAUAUGUUUUCCUCCAUUUCUGCUAAUUUUUUUCUUUCUCUCUCUGUCUCUCUCAUAAAAUACUAUACAUGUUAAUUACCAAGAUUUGAAUGAGUCAAAUUUAGUAGCUUGCUGCUUUUAUUUUUUAAAUGGCUUCUUUUAUGUAUGGGGGGAGGGCAGGUUAUGAGGCUUCUUUUCCCUCAGCUUUCAUUGAAAGUGAAGAUGUACAAUAACCACAUUGACCACUGUAGAAUGAUGAAAGAGAAUCUAGGCUAGGAUGCACACGAGAGGGGGGAAAAGGCAUUAUUAGUGAAGAUAGGAGUUACAAAGCAAAGCAAAGUCAGUAUUCAGAUAGAGAAUAGAGCCUAAUCUGAUGUUUGCAGGGAGUUCCUAGAUCACAUUUGGCAAUUUACACAUUAUUUUAUUGACACAUCCAGUGCUCCAAAAUGUGUUCCCAAAAUAUUUCGGCAUUUUAUUUGUACUAUAUAGGAAUCUUUAGGGGAGUCCAUGAAAUUUGUUUUCCUCAUAGGUCAAAGGACUGAUAAUUAACUUUGGUUCUUAAGGAGUAUGCCCUUUAGCAAUAAGAACAGCAAUAACAUUUUACCCUGAAGUUUUUUCUCUAUACCUACUAUUAUGCACUCCUAAAAUAUGUCAUCAUUAGUCUUCAUGAGGAUGUUUACCAUUUUUGAAGUUUUGUGUAAAUUAGCCUUGAAGAUUACACUAUAACUGAGGUCAGCCUUGGUUUACGGCCAGCAAAGGACAUGAUCAUGGCCCUGGAGAGAUGAGGACACAAAGCAAAUCAAUUCCCCCACUUACUGAAGGACUCCCCUUACCUUCUGUCUCUCCUGACACCUUGACUCAUUAAUUAUUUUACCCUCCUUUUUGGAAAUUUGCAACCAAUCCUUCUCAACAAUGUACUCCCUUUGGUACAUUGAAGAAAAAGAGAAGGGAAUUAUUUGAGUCCUGAUCACGAUGCAUUGAAAACUUCCUAUGUGAGAUGUUUCUUUUUUUUACAUCUCUUCCAGGUGUCCCUGAGCAUAUAAGCAUGGGUCUAUGUCUACCAAGCUCACUGUAGAGCCACUUUUGCCUUUUGCUAUGGUGGAAUGGGAUCUGUAGGGUCAGGAACACAGCACCUAACACAGUGCCUUAUGGACAGUAGUUUUAUAAUACAGAUGUGUUGGAAGAAUAAA
This is a long non-coding RNA of Piliocolobus tephrosceles (Ugandan red Colobus), 3320 nucleotides long. RefSeq lists it as uncharacterized. The record is from RefSeq and is a predicted model, not a curated record. The transcript has 2 exons. Lineage: Eukaryota; Metazoa; Chordata; Mammalia; Primates; Cercopithecidae.